This 349-nucleotide ribosomal RNA is filed under the name uncultured bacterium. RNAcentral's name for it is "partial 16S ribosomal RNA". It matches the Rfam family "Bacterial small subunit ribosomal RNA", at positions 338 to 701 of the family's 1533-position model. The record is from RNAcentral.
CCUACGGGAGGCAGCAGUGGGGAAUAUUGGGCAAUGGGCGCAAGCCUGACCCAGCAACGCCGCGUGAAGGAAGAAGGCCCUCGGGUUGUAAACUUCUUGUAGUAGGGACGAAACAAAUGACGGUACCGAAGGAAUAAGCCACGGCUAACUACGUGCAAGCAGCCGCGGUAAUACGUAGGUGGCAAGCGUUAGCUGGAUUUACUGGGUGUAAAGGGGGUGUAGGCGGGAGGGGCAGUCAGACGUGAAAAUCCCGGGCUCAACCCGGGAACUGCGUUUGAAACUGUUGUUCUUGAGUGCUGGCGCGGCCGGCGGAAUUCCUUUUGUAGCGGUGCAAUGCUUAGCUCUCCGG